Molecule: long non-coding RNA, 474 nt
Filed under: Sarcophilus harrisii (Tasmanian devil)
Lineage: Eukaryota; Metazoa; Chordata; Mammalia; Dasyuromorphia; Dasyuridae
Description: lncRNA (ENSSHAG00000029349.1)
Source: RNAcentral
GCAGCCGAAGGAGGGUGCACGGGACUGGGGAGCCCGGAGCCCGCAGACACUCCCCAGCCCAGCCGCUGUCACGACAAUCCAGCCUGGACAAAGGCCAUCAGGCUCCCAGCACCACAUAGGAGUGUCCAUCCAAAGGGAGAAGGCACCAGAGGAAGAAGCGGCUGGAGAAGGGGCAGCCAAAGCCAACCGCUCUGCAAUCCCCAUUGGCCCGCCCAGCCUAGUCACCAGGGUCUAUCACCUUUUUGCAUUUGGCCUCUACCAACGGACAUAUAGCAAGGGCAAAAGCUUAAACAUUUCCCCCUCUGCUUUGGUGACACUUUCCCCUGCGUCCAUAAGUCAGCUGACAUCAUGCUACAUAGAGCACUGGGCUUAGUGCCAGGAAGUCCCGGAUUCAAAUCCAGCCUCAGACAUUUACUAGUCCUGUGAAUGGAUGCCAUGGAUAGAGUAUACUUGCAAUCAGGAAGUUCAAGCCUG